Molecule: non-coding RNA, 577 nt
Organism: Paramuricea clavata
Lineage: Eukaryota; Metazoa; Cnidaria; Anthozoa; Malacalcyonacea; Plexauridae
Source: the annotation of a GenBank genome assembly
CUCGACAAUACAAACUAGAAAAUGGAUGCAUGAUUAAAUAUUUAUAAGGCAAAGCUUGCUUAAUUAUGAUUUAGAAAUGCCAUGCUGCCAUGCAGCGAAAGUAAUUACCUUGUCAAUUUAUCCUUGUUUAUCUGAACUUAGUCCAUAGGGAAUAAAAUUAGUUCCGACGAUGCUGAUCCUCAAACGUCUAUUUUGGUAGUAAUACAUUGCUAUACUUCUGCAUGACCUUUUUUAAACUAAUGGUUAUUGAAAAUUAAAUCACGAGAUUUGUUCCCACAUUCUUGUUCACAAUACUCAUGUGUUGCAGUUAUCUCGGAGUUGUUGGGCUCCCCAAUUCCAAAAAUCCAGGAAAUUAUUCAAGAAAUGUCCCCACUACACUUUACAAUGCCAUUGUUGCCAUUUCAACGGUUUUCUUAGCAACUUAAUUGUUUUCCGCUUUAUGUGAAGUGUGAUUGUAUGAUAGUCAACUGCGCGAGAUCAGUUUUGUUCUCUGAUUUUUAUUUUCUUUUUCGUAGAAAUGUCAAAUUAAAUAUUUAUAGACAGAACACUGAAGCGCAAAGAUGCGUCUAACGCUUGC